Molecule: long non-coding RNA, 994 nt
Organism: Nyctereutes procyonoides (raccoon dog)
Lineage: Eukaryota; Metazoa; Chordata; Mammalia; Carnivora; Canidae
Exons: 5
Source: RefSeq, a predicted model, not a curated record
UCGUCCUUGGCCCGGCGCUAGUUCGCUCGGCCUCCCUUUCCUCGGGGGCGGGAUGAUGACGGUAAAGCCGGUCUUCCUCGUAGGGUGGUUGGGUUAGUUGAGAUGCUGGACCGGAAAACGCUUUCUGAGCGGCGCGAGUGUUGACGAUUGAAGGAAGAGAGAGCUCAGGCCCCCCUUGGAGUCAGAGGGCCCCGGCCCCUCCUGGGGGGGGGGUCCUCCAGCCUGUGCAGCCCCGUGUGUGCUCUGCGGGUCUCCCGGGCCCGCCCACGGGAGGCUGCCGGUGGUAGUUCUUAAUCCACAUCUGGUGUUAACGUGAGGGUCCUGGAGUGCCCCGAGGUCGGCCCUGGCUUUUCUUUGCGUCGCAGACCUGCAGGUUGAAGCUUAAAAGUAGCGAAUGGAGCCCUGAAAUGGAUGCAGCAGUCUCAGCCUUGGUUUCUGAGGCUGGAAAAGGAUCCUGCUUCUGUAGGACCUGCUUCUGCAGAUGCCAGUAGGAGUGCCGGGUCCACUGCCCUGGGCCCAAAGAGGAGACUGACUUCUGUAUAUAUCUGCAGUGUGUGAGACAACUGAACUACUUUGCCUGAGGUUGGAGUCCCCUCAUUACUGAUCCAUCAAGUGACUCUCUUUGGUCUUACACGUUCUCCCCCAGUGAUGCCAGCUGGAGCAGCACGGCCUCUGUUGCUGUUAAUGCCUAGAAAAUAAUCCCCCAAAAGGAGAAUAAGAAGUCUUUGGGCUUUCUCUUCAAAAAGGAGCCAAAGGCUACUUGAGACCAUCCUGAAUGCCACAGUUGAGCUGAUCUGGGGGUAACUUGCGUGUGGGCAAGAAGACCAUGAUUGUAAACUGAACGCAGUGAACAUGUACGUGCUCUGUUUGGGAGCCUGCGAGGAAGCAGGUGCUCAGCCCAGGAGGAGGUUUCUCCGAGUGGAUUUCCUGUGAAGUUAAUGUUUGUCACUCAGGCUUAAGUUUUGAAGCACAAAUAAACAUUUUUAAAAAUGGA